Molecule: non-coding RNA, 740 nt
Organism: Pelobates cultripes (western spadefoot toad)
Lineage: Eukaryota; Metazoa; Chordata; Amphibia; Anura; Pelobatidae
Source: the annotation of a GenBank genome assembly
AUCGGCCUAAAAAGACAAUCUAUUGGAAAUAUCACACCCCAAAGCACCCCAGCGACCCACACAAGAAGCAGUAAUGGGCAGGAAGACCAAAAAAUCCAAACCCGAUCUGCCCCGGCCGGGCGCCAGCAUAGGAGACCUGUGGCGGCGGGCACAUGGCGCACAAGAACCUGACAUGGCCGCCUACAUAGAAGGCCUAGAAGACUCAGACGACCUGCUCUCUGACCCAGAAGAAUCCUGCUCACCCGCAAGGUGGCCGCCGGAGAAGCCUAACCCAAAGCCAGCCACGCGGCCUGAAACAGCUCCGGUCACGAAAGCUGAAAUGAAGGAGCUGCUGGCGGAGCUCCGCCGGAAUAUUCAGGCGGACGUCGCUGAUAUGCGGAGAGACAUAAAGGGCCUCACGGACCGUGUGAACACUGUGGAGCUAAAUUCCCACACGCACGCUAGGAAAGUGACCUCCCUCCAGCAGGAGAUGAAACAACUGCAACAGCAGCAAUUGAAGAUUGAAGGGGCUAUGGCAACAAUGGAGGAUUCACGAAGCGCCCAGAACCUCAAGGUCAGGGGCAUCGCAGAAUCAAUUCCAGACUCUGAACUCCCCCACCUCAUGCGGCGCCUGGUGAGUACGAUACUGCCACCAAAGCAAGCAAAGGGAGUGGGCCUCGACGGCAUCUUUAGAAUCCCUAAACCACCAACGGCCCCAUCAGCAGCAACUAGGGAUUUAAUAAUCAAGUUCCAGAAGCAAC